Musca domestica (house fly) is the source of this 1432-nucleotide long non-coding RNA. RefSeq lists it as uncharacterized. The record is from RefSeq and is a predicted model, not a curated record. The transcript is spliced from 2 exons. Lineage: Eukaryota; Metazoa; Arthropoda; Insecta; Diptera; Muscidae.
AAAUCUACUUAUAUUUCAAAAUAAAUUUAAAAUUCCCAAGCGUUGUUGCGUCUACCUGUAAUCUUCUACCAUGCUAAUGAAUAUAUAGACAACGGAGUGUUAGUUUUGUUUUUUUUUUUUUUUUAUACAUGUGGCACCAAGCCAGCUGAUUGUGCCAGUCGAUCUACUCGGCUUCGGGACAUUUCAUUGUUUUCCAGGAAUUUCACUUAAUUGUUCCCGCGGUAUACAUUUAUAUUUAAUUAUGGAAAAAAUUCCCACUGUCAAAUUGUUGCGAAGUGCUGUAGGAGUAAAACUAAUUUUUGAGUGGAAGGACCUCUGGUGGAGGCAAUUUCUCCUACGCAGCGGCCACAAAGUCAGCGGAAGCUAAUGCAGGCACCCCGAAGGGCAGACAGCAGCGAUGUCUGUAAUGGACUGCGGUACUCACAAUAACAAUAAUUUUGCAUCAAAUAGCGAGUGGUAAUUGCAGUGGAUAACCAAAUGAAAAGGUCUAUUGCCAGCUAUUUUGAAUCGGUGGUUUUUCCAACCAACAAUACUUUUCCUCAACUGUUGACGAUAAACUAAUGCAUUCCAAUAGCAGCAUUUUUUUUUUUUUUUUGUACUUCUACGUCGUUAAGUAUGUUGGUGGUUAGAACACUUUCGUGCCCAUUCACCAUGACCGGUUAUUGGUUGCUUGAAAAGUAUCAGUACUCUUUUAUUUUCGUUUUCGUUUUGUUUACAGUAUAUGUGUGUUUACAGAAUGUAGUGAUAUGAAUGGAAUACAUAAGAAAUCAAAACAAAACAAAAAAAUCAAAACUAAAAGAAAAAAAUAAAGAACUGUAAGCAAAUAUGAUGAUUAUUUACAAAUAAAAGUCAAACUUAAAUUUUGCAAAGUGCAAUAAAUUUGAUUAAUUUAUCUAUAUUUUGUUGGUUUUUGGACAUCAGGAUUUCCGUUUCACAAAGAUUUGAGUCAGCAAUUCCAAUCCUGUGGAAAUAUUUUUUGGUGUAAGUAUGACCAGUGAGCAAUCGAUUAACAAUCUUUAUGUUUUCAGGUUUCAUGUUUGAUGAAAAGAACCAGGGCUGUUUAGCAGGCGCCGGGAGGAAUUGUUAGAAGUAAGUUCCUUUAGUCCGUGAGAUGUCCUUGUAAUUUUCUAUAAACUCAUUCCACAGGAGUGACUCAAUGCGUUUCGACGCAUCUGUGACCGACAGACAGAAGUUGAUUGGUGUACCAACAUUUGCUGCAUGCUUCGCAAAAUAAUCGGCUGUUUCAUUGAUUGGUAUACCGACAUGGGAAGGUGUCCAAACAAACGAGAUUUUAUUUAAAUGCGAAUUAACUAUUUUGUUUAGAAUAUUGUACACAGUAAAAUUGUGAGAUGUGUUGUUUUUAAGCAGAAGACAAGCAUUUUUGCUGUCUGUAAAUAAAGCAGCUGUGCUGACACCGUCUUCGAUCAUCAAA